RNAcentral lists this ribosomal RNA (478 nucleotides) under uncultured bacterium. RNAcentral's name for it is "partial 16S ribosomal RNA". It matches the Rfam family "Bacterial small subunit ribosomal RNA", at positions 28 to 523 of the family's 1533-position model. The record is from RNAcentral.
GACGAUCGCUGGCGGCGUGCUUAACACAUGCAAGUCGAACGGUAAGGCCCUUCGGGGUACACGAGUGGCGAACGGGUGAGUAACACGUGGGUGAUCUGCCCUGCACUUCGGGAUAAGCAUGGGAAACUGGGUCUAAUACCGGCUAGGAACAUGCGCUUCACGGUGGGUGGUGGAAAGCUUGUGCGGUGUGGGAUGGGCCCUCGGCCUAUCGGAUUGUUGGUGGGGUAAUGGCCUACCAAGGCGACGACGGGUAGCCGGCCUGAGAGGGUGACCGGCCACACUGGGACUGAGAUACGGCCCAGACUCCUACGGGAGGCAGCAGUGGGGAAUAUUGCACAAUGGGUGCAAGCCUGAUGCAGCGACGCCGCGUGAGGGAUGACGGCCUUCGGGUUGUAAACCUCUUUCAGUAGGGACGAAGCGCAAGUGACGGUACCUACAGAAGAAGGACCGGCCAACUACGUGCCAGCAGCCGCGGUAA